UACACGUCGAUAAUCUGCCCUGAGGUCAGUGAAAGCUACGCGAAAGUGUAGGUAAACACCGAUAGGCAAUAGGCACUGCAAGGUCCUUUUGCUUAAACUCGUGCCUCAGGAUGAGUUGGCGGCCGAUUAGGUAGUUGGCGGGGUAAAGGCCCACCAAGCCUUGGAUCGGUACGGGUCAUGAAAGUGAUAGCCCGGAGAGGGACACUGAGAUACUGGUCCCAGCCCUACGGGGUGCAGCAGGCGCGAAAACUCUCCAAUGUGCGAAAGCGUGAGAGGGGAAUUCCUAGUGCUACGGGUUUAUCCCGUGGCUUUUGCCAUGUGUAAAUAGCAUGGCGAAUAAGUGGUGGGCAAGACUGGUGCCAGCCGCCGCGGUAACACCAGCGCCACGAGUGGCUAUCACGAUUAUUGGGCCUAAAGCGUCCGUAGUCAGUUCUGUACAUCUUCUGUGAAAUCGCAGCGCUUAACGUUGCGGCACGCAGAAGACACGGCAGAGCUUGAGAGCGGGAGGCGUGAAGGGUACUCCGGGGGGACCGGUAAAAUGGUAUAAUCCCCGGAAGACCACCUGUGGCGAAGGCGCUUCACGAGAACGCAUCUGACGAUGAGGGACGAAAGCCAGGGGAGCAAACCGGAUUAGAUACCCGAGUAGUCCUGGCCGUAAACGCUGUCAGCUAGGUGUUGCGUGUUCCUUGUGAGCUCGCAGUAUCGGAGCGAAGGUAUUAAGCUGACCCGCCUGGAAG
Molecule: ribosomal RNA, 737 nt
Filed under: uncultured euryarchaeote
Lineage: Archaea; Methanobacteriati; Methanobacteriota
Description: bacterial SSU rRNA
Rfam family: Archaeal small subunit ribosomal RNA
Source: RNAcentral